UACGUAGGGUGCGAGCGUUGUCCGGAAUUACUGGGCGUAAAGAGCUCGUAGGUGGUUUGUCGCGUUGUUCGUGAAAACUCACAACUCAAUUGUGGGCGUGCGGGCGAUACGGGCAGACUGGAGUACUGCAGGGGAGACUGGAAUUCCUGGUGUAGCGGUGGAAUGCGCAGAUAUCAGGAGGAACACCGGUGGCGAAGGCGGCCAUCUGGACCGCAACUGACGCUGAGGCGCGAAAGCGUGGGGAGCAAACAGG
RNAcentral lists this ribosomal RNA (253 nucleotides) under uncultured bacterium. Its description in RNAcentral is "partial 16S ribosomal RNA". It matches the Rfam family "Bacterial small subunit ribosomal RNA", at positions 524 to 776 of the family's 1533-position model. The record is from RNAcentral.